CCUACGGGGGGCAGCAGUGAGGAAUAUUGGUCAAUGGGCGAGAGCCUGAACCAGCAAAGUAGCGUGAAGGAUGACUGCCCUACGGGUUGUAAACUUCUUUUAUAAAGGAAUAAAGUGAGGCACGUGUGCCUUUUUGUAUGUACUUUAUGAAUAAGGAUCGGCUAACUCCGUGACAGCAGCCGCGGUAAUACGGAGGAUCCGAGCGUUAUCCGGAUUUAUUGGGUUUAAAGGGAGCGUAGAUGGGUUGUUAAGUCAGUUGUGAAAGUUUGCGGCUCAACCGUAAAAGUGCAAUUGAUACUGGCAGCCUUGAGUACAGUUGAGGUAGGCGGAAUUCGUUGUGUAGCGGUGAAAUGCUUAGAUAUCACGAAGAACUCCGAUUGCGAAGGCAGCUUACUAAUCUGCCACUGACAUUGAUGCUCGAAAGUGUGGGUAUCAAACAGGAUUAGAUACCCUUGUAGUC
This 460-nucleotide ribosomal RNA is filed under the name uncultured bacterium. Its description in RNAcentral is "partial 16S ribosomal RNA". It matches the Rfam family "Bacterial small subunit ribosomal RNA", at positions 338 to 795 of the family's 1533-position model. The record is from RNAcentral.